UACGUAUUCCCUCCGUCCAACAAAAGAGGUCUCAAGUUUGUCUAAAUUUGGAUGUAUCUAGACAUAACUUAGUGUAUAGAUGCAUUCAGAUUUGGUCAAAGUUGAGACAUCCUUUGUUGGACAGAGAGAGUACUUA
Molecule: non-coding RNA, 136 nt
Organism: Brachypodium distachyon (stiff brome)
Lineage: Eukaryota; Viridiplantae; Streptophyta; Magnoliopsida; Poales; Poaceae
Source: Rfam